Long non-coding RNA from Daphnia pulicaria, 731 nucleotides. RefSeq lists it as uncharacterized. The record is from RefSeq and is a predicted model, not a curated record. Lineage: Eukaryota; Metazoa; Arthropoda; Branchiopoda; Diplostraca; Daphniidae. The transcript is spliced from 3 exons.
CAUCACAAUUAUCUGCUGUUUGUAUUGGACUUGCUCGAUCACCAACCCUGGCAUGUACCAAGCUCUCAUCUUCUAGAGUACCUUGGGUAACUAAUCAUCACUGAUCAGUGGUUUCAUGUAGGCAAUUUUGUUGUAAUACUGACAACUAUUUAAUGAGAACAACAACAACUAUUGACCGGAAGACGUCCAUCCAGGAGUCCAUCCGGUUUUGGCAAUUGGAACGACGGACUGGCAAAGACCCACCCCGAGAUGAUCGUUGCCUUGAGCACUCCGCCCAACACCAACUUUAUCCCUGCCAUUGGGCGUCUUAUUCCUCACGUCGGAGCGGCUCCGUUCCUCACGCCGUCUGCCCCCACGUCAUCUUCUCUCUGCAGCCCAUCGCUGCAGUUAACCGCAACAAAUUCCUUUCUGCUGUUCUCCGCCUGAUCCUCAAUGCCACUGAGACCACCGAGAUCCGUAUCGCCGCCGUCUCCACCAUGUUCCACGAGUUGAAAUAAACAUAGUUUUGAUUGUUUGCUGACCUAGAAACUCAUUUUGACGCGACAAAAGAUAGCUGCUGAAUAGAAGCUACAUCAAGAUUCAAGCUACACGCAAGCCCUUCCAAUUGAUCAAUCACGUUUGGAUUUUAAGUUUAAUUUAUUUAGCACAUUUUUAAAUUUCGUUAAAUAAUUUUUAUUUUUUAAAUUAAGACGAUUAAGACUUAAAGAAAAUAGUAUAAAAUUUGAGAUAAA